This 510-nucleotide ribosomal RNA is filed under the name uncultured bacterium. RNAcentral's name for it is "bacterial SSU rRNA". It matches the Rfam family "Bacterial small subunit ribosomal RNA", at positions 19 to 518 of the family's 1533-position model. The record is from RNAcentral.
AUGGCUCAGGAUGAACGCUAGCUACAGGCUUAACACAUGCAAGUCGAGGGGCAGCAUGGUCUUAGCUUGCUAAGGCUGAUGGCGACCGGCGCACGGGUGAGUAACGCGUAUCCAACCUUCCCCUUAGUAGGGCAUAGCCCGGCGAAAGUCGGAUUAACACCCUAUGUUUUCCGUUGCGGGCAUCUAAUAUGGAACAAAGAUUUAUCGCUAAGGGAUGGGGAUGCGUCUGAUUAGGUAGUAGGCGGGGUAACGGCCCACCUAGCCCUCGAUCAGUAGGGGUUCUGAGAGGAAGGUCCCCCACAUUGGAACUGAGACACGGUCCAAACUCCUACGGGAGGCAGCAGUGAGGAAUAUUGGUCAAUGGCCGAGAGGCUGAACCAGCCAAGUAGCGUGCAGGACGACGGCCCUAUGGGUUGUAAACUGCUUUUAUGCGGGGAUAAAGUCGCCCACGUGUGGGUGUUUGCAGGUACCGCAUGAAUAAGGACCGGCUAAUUCCGUGCCAGCCGCUGC